Molecule: long non-coding RNA, 611 nt
Filed under: Drosophila guanche
Lineage: Eukaryota; Metazoa; Arthropoda; Insecta; Diptera; Drosophilidae
Source: RNAcentral
AGAAAACUGAUAAGCAAUGUGAUUCACGCGUCGAUACUUAAGGAAAAAUUUAAAGAUGAGGAUGUUCUUAUUCCAAGGAUUCCGAUGAUCCCAACGGAUAUGCUCUUUCAGUUUAAACGAAUUCAAUUCCCUAUUCGUCUUGCCUUUGCCAUGACGAUCAACAAAUCACAGGGCCAAUCCUUGACUAUGUGUGGCCUCAAUCUAGAAAAUAAAUGUUUUUCUCAUGGUCAAUUGUACGUGGCAUGUGAAAGUGGUUGCAAGUGGUUAGUUGAAAAAAAAAACUAAAAACUAAAAUGGCAUCUAAAAUUGUGUGUGAUCAGUGCUCUAAGUCCUUUGAAUUAACAGAAUGGUAUGCUCAUUGUGAGGAAUGCUCGGAUCGUAUAAAUGCGUUUGAAGUACUUAUGACCAAAGGGUCAAGCAAAGGGUCAAGCAAAGGGUCAAGCCAUCAAGAAGCAUCAACGUCAGGCGCAUCAAAACGUCCUAGAUUGGAGACUUCUCUUGAAAAAGCCAAUAUUACCUGUACAACUUGCGGCGAAAGUUUCCUGCCGUCUAGGGUAAUCCGUCAUAUCCUGUCAGAAAAACAUAAGAAUGCAACAGCAGCGCAACUCGAG